GGGCUCGUGCCGGCCGGGGUCGUGUUUUGGGGUCUGCAAGAGCCAGAAAAUGUCUGCAGAGCCCCUGACUCUUUUGUGGAAGUCUAAAGACUCUUUGGGGAAUUCUAAAGGGGAGCGGGAGGAGAUUGGAAGGAGCCAGAGCAUCUGUGGCAUUUCUUUAGUCUUCAGUAAAGAUCUUCAGUGAGUUACCAACCCUGGGAGUCAGGAUAUGAGCAGCCUCCAAAGUCUGUAAAGAAAGAAGUAAAGUAACUGUUGGGCCAUCAGAGUGGAUGUCAGUGUCAGCCACGGGGAGAUGGAAUAAUGCUCUCACUGCUGGAAGAGUCACCUCCAUUCAGGUAUUUCUGUUUCUUGUGCAGGCAGGACAUCACUCAUUUGCAAGCAUGGCUGGGUGUGAUUUCUGUUAGAUCUGGUGAGAUGGAUA
RNAcentral lists this long non-coding RNA (421 nucleotides) under Zonotrichia albicollis (white-throated sparrow). Its description in RNAcentral is "lncRNA (ENSZALG00000002893.1)". Lineage: Eukaryota; Metazoa; Chordata; Aves; Passeriformes; Passerellidae. The record is from RNAcentral.